AGAGUACGUGAAACUGCUUAGAGGUUAAGCCCGAUGAACCUGAAUAUCCAUUAUGGAAAAUUCAUCGCUAAUACUAAUAUAUUAAUAAUAUAAAAGAAAUGGCGUGCAAUUUUUCCAUAUAAGGACAUUGUAAUCUGUUAAUGUAUUAAUUAUUUAUCAAAAGAUCUUUUACGUAAGUUUAUCCAAAUUAGUUAUUUUCGGAUUUCUAACAUAAGAUAAAUGUAUUAGAUUUGAUAAAUCAUUGACAGAUUUAAUUAUAUAUAGUGCUUAAAUUUUUCGGAAUUUUACAAUGAUAUAUAAAUCUAUCGAUUUAAAUAUUUAUAUUGUAUGCACUUAUAUGAUUAACAAUGCGAUAGAUUCAGGAUACCUUCGGGACCCGUCUUGAAACACGGACCAAGGAGUCUAACAUAUGUGCAAGUCAUUGGGUAUUUUUAAUAAAACCCAAAGGCGUAAUUAACUUAACUGUUUUAAUGGGAUUAGUUUAAAUUUUAUUAUGAAAUAUAAAUUCAAUCCCGGGGCGUUCUAUACGGUUAUGUAUAAUAAUAUUUAUAUUAUUUAUGCCUCUA
This 566-nucleotide ribosomal RNA is filed under the name Platycheirus punctulata. RNAcentral's name for it is "partial large subunit ribosomal RNA". Lineage: Eukaryota; Metazoa; Arthropoda; Insecta; Diptera; Syrphidae. The record is from RNAcentral.